GAGGGUGCGAGCGUUAAUCGGAAUUACUGGGCGUAAAGCGCAUGCAGGUGGUUUGUUAAGUCAGAUGUGAAAGCCCGGGGCUCAACCUCGGAAUAGCAUUUGAAACUGGCAGACUAGAGUACUGUAGAGGGGGGUAGAAUUUCAGGUGUAGCGGUGAAAUGCGUAGAGAUCUGAAGGAAUACCGGUGGCGAAGGCGGCCCCCUGGACAGAUACUGACACUCAGAUGCGAAAGCGUGGGGAGCAAACAGGAUUAGAUACCCUGGUAGUCCACGCCGUAAACGAUGUCUACUUGGAGGUUGUGGCCUUGAGCCGUGGCUUUCGGAGCUAACGCGUUAAGUAGACCGCCUGGGGAGUACGGUCGCAAGAUUAAAACUCAAAUGAAUUGACGGGGGCCCGCACAAGCGGUGGAGCAUGUGGUUUAAUUCGAUGCAACGCGAAGAACCUUACCUACUCUUGACAUCCAGAGAACUUUCCAGAGAUGGAUUGGUGCCUUCGGGAACUCUGAGACAGGUGCUGCAUGGCUGUCGUCAGCUCGUGUUGUGAAAUGUUGGGUUAAGUCCCGCAACGAGCGCAACCCUUAUCCUUGUUUGCCAGCGAGUAAUGUCGGGAACUCCAGGGAGACUGCCGGUGAUAAACCGGAGGAAGGUGGGGACGACGUCAAGUCAUCAUGGCCCUUACGAGUAGGGCUACACACGUGCUACAAUGGCGCAUACAGAGGGCGGCCAACUUGCGAAAGUGAGCGAAUCCCAAAAAGUGCGUCGUAGUCCGGAUUGGAGUCUGCAACUCGACUCCAUGAAGUCGGAAUCGCUAGUAAUCGUGGAUCAGAAUGCCACGGUGAAUACGUUCCCGGGCCUUGUACACACCGCCCGUCACACCAUGGGAGUGGGCUGCAAAAGAAGUAGGUAGUUUAACCUUCGGGGGGACGCUUACCACUUUGUGGUUCAUGACUGGGGUGAAGUCGUAACAAGGUAGCGCUAGGGGAACCUGGCGCUGGAUCACCUCCUUAAACGAUGAU
Molecule: ribosomal RNA, 1015 nt
Filed under: Vibrio parahaemolyticus
Lineage: Bacteria; Pseudomonadati; Pseudomonadota; Gammaproteobacteria; Vibrionales; Vibrionaceae
Description: bacterial SSU rRNA
Rfam family: Bacterial small subunit ribosomal RNA
Source: RNAcentral